This 253-nucleotide ribosomal RNA is filed under the name uncultured bacterium. RNAcentral's name for it is "partial 16S ribosomal RNA". It matches the Rfam family "Bacterial small subunit ribosomal RNA", at positions 524 to 776 of the family's 1533-position model. The record is from RNAcentral.
UACGAAGGGGGCUAGCGUUGUUCGGAAUUACUGGGCGUAAAGCGCACGUAGGCGGACUAUUAAGUCAGGGGUGAAAUCCCGGGGCUCAACCCCGGAACUGCCUUUGAUACUGCUAGUCUCGAGUCCGGAAGAGGUGAGUGGAAUUCCGAGUGUAGAGGCGAAAUUCGUAGAUAUUCGGAGGAACACCAGUGGCGAAGGCGGCUCACUGGUCCGGUACUGACGCUGAGGUGCGAAAGCGUGGGGAGCAAACAGG